GCGCUGAUCAGUAUGUUGGUGUGGCCGGAAAUGAUUGCAUGCAUGUUGCUGUUCUCAUUGGAGUUAUCUUGGUGUGCAUCAUCGUGGUGAUAGCAGGAACUACUUUUACAAUAAUAUACCUGAGGAAAAGGAUAAACUCGUCGAGAGAAGGAACAUUUUUUUCGGAGAUGACCUCUUCAUCUUCAUCUAACUCCUCAAACUUGUUAAAUAAAAACGAAGGUGUGUUUGACUCAGAAUCGGUGAAGGAAAAUGCAAAAGUGUCGGAGACGAAAAGUUUCACCAUUAUCGAGAGAAUGUGACCAUUGGACCAUAUUUGGACAGGACCUCAUAUCAACGGUUAUUGAGCGUAUACAGAAGUUCCAAGACCUCCUCAUCUUCAUCUUAGUGCUGAGACUUGUAAAUAAGAUUGAAGGGCACAACAGACUGUUCUCCUACGAUUCAUGAUUGUAAUUGUUAAUUAUAGUCUGGUCCAAAUAUAACAAACAAAUAAGAUGCAACUCAACUGGAAACUACAUUGCUCAAA
This is a long non-coding RNA of Mya arenaria, 523 nucleotides long. RefSeq lists it as uncharacterized. The transcript is spliced from 5 exons. Lineage: Eukaryota; Metazoa; Mollusca; Bivalvia; Myida; Myidae. The record is from RefSeq and is a predicted model, not a curated record.